This is a long non-coding RNA of Pogoniulus pusillus (Red-fronted tinkerbird), 1152 nucleotides long. RefSeq lists it as uncharacterized. The transcript is spliced from 2 exons. NCBI's taxonomy places the organism in Eukaryota, Metazoa, Chordata, Aves, Piciformes, Lybiidae. The record is from RefSeq and is a predicted model, not a curated record.
ACUCCUCUCCCCGUGGCGUGAGGCUGGUGUUGAGGAAGCUGUGUGCAGGCGAGGGGUGUCCACAUGGGCCCAGGUCCCCUCUCGGCAUUCCCAUCACCCUGCAGGGAAGGUGCCCUGCCCCAGCCCAGCCCAGUUUCUCCAAGCUUCUUGGAGCUCAACUCCAGAGGCAGGGAUACAAGGUGGUGAGAACAGGAUCAGACCUUGCCCUGGAGGCCCACAGCGCUUGGUAGCACUGCGGGCAGAGCACAUUCCCAGCUGCUUUCAGAUGUGGUUCACACCAUCAGGUGGGGAGCUGGAAAAGACUCAUCCCAAGCCCACUGGCGGUUUUCCAAGGGAAGGAGGAGAGAGCCUGGCUGGGUGGAGCAGGCGGCAUAGCUUUUAAAAUGUAGAGCACCCAGAGCCUGUGGUCUGCCCCCGACCUGCUGGGACAGCUCAGCCCACGCCGGGGGGCUGCUCCCUGCUCCUGCUGGCGCUGAGCUGCCGCUCCCCUGCGCACCUCCCCCCUGCCACGGGCAGCAGCAGGCAGCAUGCUGGGGCUUCCCUAGGAAGGGGGGGGCAAGCAGCCUGCAGCAGAGGUAUGCCCAACUACAGGCCACGCUGCGAGGUGUAAGUGAGCGUCUGAGCCCCAGCACAGCCUCUGCCAAAGUCCUCCUCACUGCUUCCUUAAUCCGGCUUGCGUCAGCCAGGCUGCAGGACCUGCCCAGGCUGACCAAGAGGAGCUGUGGGAAUGAGGCUGAGGACUUGCCCAGCCUGACCAAGUGGAGUUGUGGGGAUGAGGCUGAGGACCUGCUCAGCCUGACCAAGUGGAGUUGUGGGACUGGAGCUAAGGACCUGCCCAGCCUGACCAAGUGGAGUUGUGGGACUGGAGCUAAGGACUUGCCCAGCCUGAUCAAGUGGAGUUGUGGGGAUGAGGCUGAGGACCUGCCCAGCCUGACCAAGUGGAGCCAUGGGACUGGGGCUGAGGACCUGCCCAGCCUGACCAAAUAGAGCUGUAGGGGAAGAGGCUGAGGACCUGCCCAGCCUGACCAAGUGGAGCUGUGAGGGCUCAGGCUCCUCACCCAUGGCUGGAGGGGGGAGGGGAUUCUCCUGCAAGGCUCUGUGGUGACUCUUGUGUAAUUUGGUCACCCAAAUGCAUCCCUGUCCCUCUGCUGA